CUUAGUUGCCUUGGAGUCCAAUGGCUGGUUCGUAGUCAUAUUAUUUCUUUUGCACUGACAAGCAUCAUAGAUUGGAAGUGCUGCAGCAGGAAUGAGGCAAAGGAUUUCUUGCUUGUCUCUUCCAAUAGUUCUUUUCCUUUCUCCCUUCUUUCUAAUUUCUUUGUUUCUCACCUUGCUAAUUGAUACUCUCUGUUCUCUCUUCUUUUCUCUCCUAUGUCAUGUUCUCAAGUUAAACUAUUUUGCUAAAAAUAUGGGUAGAUGGAUUUGCCAACUCAGGAAAUAUUUGUCUCUGUUCAUUGUAUUCUUUAUCUUUAUUUUGCUUCAUAUACUAGAGUUAACCUUCUUUUAAGACUAUUGUUUACUGAGUUUCUUCUGAUGCAGUUAUGCCUCUAUACCGGUUUCUUAUCAUAUCAGCUGUAGAUUUUCUUUUGGUUUCAUCGUGAGCUUCUUAUCCUGUUUUUCUAAAUACCCUUCUUUCCUGUCACUAUCAAGUGCAUUGAGCAAGGCAUUUCAUCAGUGUCCAAUGAAAUUGGUAGACAGCCAGCUGAAAAUUAGAUCAGAUGCAAAUGUUUGCUUCAGCAGUGGCAGAACUUGCAUUUUUCCGUAAUUCAAUUGUCCAAUCUGAUGGACCAAAUUUUGGGCUUUCGAAAAUUGCCCAGCAGAUCAUUCGUGUUAUCAAUGAAAUAUAUUAGUGAUAGUGCUAACUCCUGGGGAUAGAUGGAGGGGUCAGUAAGUGAUAUGUUGUUCUUUCAUGGCUGAUGUAUACUUUAUAUUCACCAUACAUUUGUAACUUUAUAAAAGCUGAUUACAACAAUAACAUGUCAGCGAUUUUGAAA
This is a long non-coding RNA of Hevea brasiliensis (rubber tree), 836 nucleotides long. RefSeq lists it as uncharacterized. Lineage: Eukaryota; Viridiplantae; Streptophyta; Magnoliopsida; Malpighiales; Euphorbiaceae. The record is from RefSeq and is a predicted model, not a curated record. The transcript is spliced from 2 exons.